Molecule: small nuclear RNA, 106 nt
Filed under: Propithecus coquereli (Coquerel's sifaka)
Lineage: Eukaryota; Metazoa; Chordata; Mammalia; Primates; Indriidae
Source: RNAcentral
GUGCUCUCUUCAGCAGCAUAUAUACUAAAAUUGGUAUGAUACAGAAAAGAUUAGCAUGGCCCCUUGCAAGUAUGACACCCAAAUUCAUGAAGCAGUUCAUAUAUUC